GGACCCGUAGUCUAGCUUGGAUAGCGAAAAGCCCAAAAAGGACGCUGGCCUCCGGAGCCGGUGGCGCGGGUUCAAAUCCCGCCGGGUCCG
RNAcentral lists this transfer RNA (90 nucleotides) under Hadesarchaea archaeon CG08_land_8_20_14_0_20_51_8. RNAcentral's name for it is "tRNA-Arg". It matches the Rfam family "tRNA". Rfam says of the family: Transfer RNA (tRNA) molecules are approximately 80 nucleotides in length. Their secondary structure includes four short double-helical elements and three loops (D, anti-codon, and T loops). The record is from RNAcentral. Lineage: Archaea; Methanobacteriati; Hadarchaeota (SeqCode); Hadarchaeia (SeqCode).